This 252-nucleotide ribosomal RNA is filed under the name uncultured bacterium. Its description in RNAcentral is "partial 16S ribosomal RNA". It matches the Rfam family "Bacterial small subunit ribosomal RNA", at positions 545 to 793 of the family's 1533-position model. The record is from RNAcentral.
UCGGAAUUACUGGGCGUAAAGCGCAUGCAGGUGGUUGUUAAGUCAGAUGUGAAAGCCCGGGGCUCAACCUCGGAAUUGCAUUUGAAACUGGCAGACUAGAGUACUGUAGAGGGGGUAGAAUUUCAGGUGUAGCGGUGAAAAUGCGUAGAGAUCUGAAGGAAUACCGGUGGCGAAGGCGGCCCCCCUGGACAGAUACUGACACUCCAGAUGCGAAAAGCGUCGGGGAGCAAACAGGAUUAGAUACCCUGGUAG